UACGUAGGGUGCGAGCGUUAAUCGGAAUUACUGGGCGUAAAGGGUGCGCAGGCGGCGUCGCAAGUCAGGCGUGAAAUCCCCGGGCUUAACCUGGGAACUGCACUUGAAACUACGAUGCUGGAGUAUGGCAGAGGGGAGGUGGAAUUCCACGUGUAGCGGUGAAAUGCGCAGAUAUCAGGAGGAACACCGAUGGCGAAGGCAGGUCUCUGGGCAUUAACUGACGCUGAGGAGCGAAAGCGUGGGGAGCGAACAGG
RNAcentral lists this ribosomal RNA (254 nucleotides) under uncultured bacterium. RNAcentral describes it as "partial 16S ribosomal RNA". It matches the Rfam family "Bacterial small subunit ribosomal RNA", at positions 524 to 776 of the family's 1533-position model. The record is from RNAcentral.